AUUGAACGCUGGCGGCAUGCUUUACACAUGCCAGUCGAACGGCAGCGCGGGCUUCGGCCUGGCGGCGAGUGGUGAACGGGUGAGUAAUGCAUCGGAACGUGCCCAGUAGUGGGGGAUAGCCCGGCGAAAGCCGGAUUAAUACCGCAUACGACCUGAGGGUGAAAGCGGGGGACCGAAAGGCCUCGCGCUAUUGGAGCGGCCGAUGUCGGAUUAGCUAGUUGGUGGGGUAAAGGCUUACCAAGGCGACGAUCCGUAGCUGGUCUGAGAGGACGACCAGCCACACUGGGACUGAGACACGGCCCAGACUCCUACGGGAGGCAGCAGUGGGGAAUUUUGGACAAUGGGGGCAACCCUGAUCCAGCCAUGCCGCGUGCGGGAAGAAGGCCUUCGGGUUGUAAACCGCUUUUGUUCGGGAAGAAAUCCUCUGGGCUAAUACCCCGGGGGGAUGACGGUACCGGAAGAAUAAGCACCGGCUAACUACGUG
This 484-nucleotide ribosomal RNA is filed under the name uncultured bacterium. Its description in RNAcentral is "partial 16S ribosomal RNA". It matches the Rfam family "Bacterial small subunit ribosomal RNA", at positions 28 to 507 of the family's 1533-position model. The record is from RNAcentral.